Vespa crabro (European hornet) is the source of this 1013-nucleotide long non-coding RNA. RefSeq lists it as uncharacterized. The record is from RefSeq and is a predicted model, not a curated record. The transcript is spliced from 2 exons. NCBI's taxonomy places the organism in Eukaryota, Metazoa, Arthropoda, Insecta, Hymenoptera, Vespidae.
AGUUAGAGAAAAGAAAAGAAAACAUUAUUGAGAAUCAUUUUUAUUACGAGUAUAUCUUCAAGGUCGAGAAACAUAGUGUCAGAUAUAUAAAAGUACCAAGCACACGCGGGUCGCACUUCCUUCCGUCCUUCCUUCUUUCCUUGACCGCUCCUCCCCACUCCAUCCGACCUUCCACCUUACCCCUUCCUCCCGUUCUCCUGUCACUUAUACGUUUUUCUUUGAUAUGAUUUGAUUUUGAAAUAAAAUUAAAGAGGUGGAAAACGUUAGAUAGAGAUAGCGAUAGAGAUAGUAAUAAUGAUAGUAAUAGUGAUAGAGAUAGAGAUAAAGAUAGUGAUAGAAAGAGACCAUCAUAACGUUAAACCAUGCUGAGUUGCGUUCGCAUUGUGUCCAACUAUGAAGGUACCUUACUACUAUAUGUAUAUAUAUGUGUGUGUUGUUUGUAUGUACGUAUGUAGGUAUGUGUGUGUAUAUAUAUAUAUAUAGUACAUAUUUGCAAAGAGGGGGGCGCGCGGAGCGUGAGGUGUAGUAUAAUUAAACCCGAAGGACGUGCCGGUCGGUAACUUAAUUCCCACGAGGUUCGUUCGUUUGUGCAUAGCCUCUCUCGUGACUUUUCUACCCAACGAACGUUUUCUUCGUAAAUGCGUUUCCGUGAGAAGAUUUCCCUGGCGAUGGUGAUGCUCCUGUCUGCUGCUAGUGUCGCUUUUGUUACUGCUUUUGUUGUCGAUUGCAUUGUCGUUGUGUUGUUGUUGUUCUUGUUCUUGUUCUUGUUGAUGUUCCGAGCCGGCAACGUGGUGGAACGGCCAGAAGGAAAAAUAGAUAUAUACGCAACGAGUCGUCAAGAGCUCGAUCGUACAUUCGAAAUUAGGUUAUGGUUACCAACGACAACAUAAUAACAACUACGACGAAGCGAAGACGAAGAAAAAGAAGAAGAAGCUAUGACAUACAUACAUACAUACAUACAUAUGUACAUGCGUACGUACAAUUGUCAACAAUUAUAUUUUUGUGAUGAACAA